This 478-nucleotide ribosomal RNA is filed under the name uncultured bacterium. Its description in RNAcentral is "partial 16S ribosomal RNA". It matches the Rfam family "Bacterial small subunit ribosomal RNA", at positions 28 to 523 of the family's 1533-position model. The record is from RNAcentral.
GACGAACGCUGGCGGCGUGCUUAACACAUGCAAGUCGAACGGUAAGGCCCUUCGGGGUACACGAGUGGCGAACGGGUGAGUAACACGUGGGUGAUCUGCCCUGCACUUCGGGAUAAGCCUGGGAAACUGGGUCUAAUACCGGAUAGGACUCCGGACUGCAUGGUCUGGGGUGGAAAGCUUUUGCGGUGUGGGAUGGGCCCGCGGCCUAUCAGCUUGUUGGUGGGGUGAUGGCCUACCAAGGCGACGACGGGUAGCCGGCCUGAGAGGGUGACCGGCCACACUGGGACUGCGAUACGGCCCAGACUCCUACGGGAGGCAGCAGUGGGGAAUAUUGCACAAUGGGCGCAAGCCUGAUGCAGCGACGCCGCGUGAGGGAUGACGGCCUUCGGGUUGUAAACCUCUUUCAGCAUCGACGAAGCGAAAGUGACGGUAGGUGUAGAAGAAGGACCGGCCAACUACGUGCCAGCCGCCGCGGUAA